This is a long non-coding RNA of Hyla sarda, 527 nucleotides long. RefSeq lists it as uncharacterized. Lineage: Eukaryota; Metazoa; Chordata; Amphibia; Anura; Hylidae. The transcript has 4 exons. The record is from RefSeq and is a predicted model, not a curated record.
AGAAAAUGCACAGCAUAAUAGAUGAAACAAUAAUGAAGUCAAUGUUUGUGACAGAACCAACACCUUAUCUGAAGAAAAAAAAAAGUUACAUUCGGCUAAAGAGAAGCGAUCAUGGAGUGUGGAUAAUUGGAUGAAAAUCUCCAAUUUUCAAGCAAUGUGAGCCAUGACUACUCUUGGAGGUAGGAGAAUACUGUGACUAUUGAUUUGGGAAAUAAGAUGUGGAAGAGGCUACUACAAAAGGGGCAGAUAUGAGUUGUAAAUAGAAAUAUGACUACUGUUGGAGUGGAAAGACGGGGGUGUGGGGAGCCCUAAAGAUAAUUAUUACCUUCAGGAGGGGAUACGAUGUGAGACCUAAAUUUUAAAGGAAUGCUAUUUAAGAAAACACACUGAAAAGCAGAGGGAAAGGAGAAACGAAAGGAAGGGCGUAAGGGAUACAAUGGAAAAGCUGCAGUAGUUCUAGUCUGUGAUUUUAUCCAUAGCAGAUGAUAAGAGAAGCCAGAGAAAAGAGUAAUUAAUAAAGUAAAGUA